This is an RNA transcript of Triticum dicoccoides, 1762 nucleotides long. RefSeq lists it as uncharacterized. Lineage: Eukaryota; Viridiplantae; Streptophyta; Magnoliopsida; Poales; Poaceae. The record is from RefSeq and is a predicted model, not a curated record. The transcript is spliced from 2 exons.
CACAUCCUACCUCCCAUCCACUUCUCCUCCCCCGCCCCCACCCGCGACGCCCUACCACCAGCCGCCCUUGAUUCGGCGAGAUGGAAAUCCAACGCGCGCCACAUGCCCUCCCCGACCGCUCUUCAACUUCGGCGCGGGUCGAAGAGCACCAGCCGCCACCCGAUGGAGGCGGAGGUGGCCUCCCCCAAUGCACCCCUGUCUGGGGGCUUGCUGCGCCGCCGCUGGAUGUCUCUUCUAGUGGAUCUCCGUGUCUUGACCGACCUCCCUUCCUGGUGCAGUCCAUGCUCCGGGGCGGCCAUCUGGGCGUGAGCACCUCGGGCAUGGCCGGCGCCGGAUUCCGCCAUGCCUUGCUCCUGCAGCAUUCUGUACAGUUCAUUCCGUGGGGGUGUCGCGAUGCAGUAUGCAUCGUUAUGGCGAUGUGGCUCGAUGGUAGUGCUCGGUGCGGUUCGGCAGCCUGUCAAGUUUUUUGUUUGUUCUUUGUCUUUGAAAUUGAUUUUGUGUUCAUGUGCUGCAGAGCAGCACCUACACUUCCCUCAAUUUCUUUUCAUGUGCAGUUUGCUUUGAAAACAGAGAAGGGCUCUCGUGAGGCCUUCGCGGAUGAGAUGCUCCCGACCUUGCCUCUUCCGAUCAUUUCCAUCCCCUAAAUCCGGUUGUGCACGCAGGAUGCAGCUCACAACAGGAUCAAGGAUCCCCUUCCUUCACUUGGGACAGGAGCACCGCACCUUCGUGCUAUUCGGCGGACCCCGUUUGUGGGUUGCAGCUUGCUUCUGGUGCCGCUGCAGUUUGCGGUUCUGUACGCAUGCAGUGCAGUAGGCGCAUCUCCAUGGCACUUCAGCCACGCCGUGAAAAUCCUCGCCGGAUCCGAUGAACCACCACCGGAUUCGUGGAGAUCUUCCCGCCACGACGAGUUUCUACCCCCACAUCAGGCGCCUGGAUCAUGGCGCCCAUCCCACACCCCGGGCGGUCGUCCCCCCUGCAUCCCUCCCCGCGCACCCUGUGGUCUGCUCCGUUAAGCCACUGGUGCACCGUGCGCGGCACCGUGUAGUCCACUGUGUGGGUGCAUGCAGCACGCCCACCCUGCACCCCUGGGGCCGUGCAGUCCACCAAGUGCAAAAGCAGCUUCCUGCGACGCCAUGGAGCUCCCUUUUCUUAGCAAGGUCCAUGGGGAGAGUACCUUUAUGCAGGGGCAGUGCCAUGGAAGGCUUGAGCUCUUCCGCUCCUCAACAAGCAGCAGCAGCAGCAUGACAUUGAGGUCUUCCCCCAUGGAAGGUCAUCGACGGAGCAGGCCGAGCGAUGGUGGUGGCCGAAUGAUGCUGACAGGAUGGAGGCUGCUACUGUGUUGUAUGGUAUGAAUCCCUCACACCUUGAUCUCUUCUUGGCUGCUACUGCACCAAGAUCCUCUGCAUGCGGGUGUUGUGGUUGUUCAGCUCGGAGAUGCUCGCCAUGUGGUUCAGGGUUCGUGCGCGUGCAGUCCGACGAGCGUCAUCUCUUCCCCUCUGGUCGGUCGACCAUGGCCGUGCAGCUCGGAGACGCUCGCCAUGCGGUUCGGAGCUCAUGCGCGUGCAGUCUAGCAAUUGCCAUCUCUUCCCCCUGCAGUUCGUCGACCAUGCCAUGCAACUCAAAUGCAGUUCUGCUGGUGUAUGUGUGUGGCUGUAAAACAACGAAUGGAUGUAUGUGUGUCUAUGAGCAUCGACGAAGGCGCAAAACAAAAUGUGCGCGUGUAGUUUGGUUAGCUCUGUCGUGCAGUACUUUGUUUUUGUUU